RNAcentral lists this transfer RNA (74 nucleotides) under Capsulimonas corticalis. Its description in RNAcentral is "tRNA-Pro". It matches the Rfam family "tRNA". Rfam says of the family: Transfer RNA (tRNA) molecules are approximately 80 nucleotides in length. Their secondary structure includes four short double-helical elements and three loops (D, anti-codon, and T loops). Further hydrogen bonds mediate the characteristic L-shaped molecular structure. tRNAs have two regions of fundamental functional importance: the anti-codon, which is responsible for specific mRNA codon recognition, and the 3' end, to which the tRNAs corresponding amino acid is attached (by aminoacyl-tRNA synthetases). tRNAs cope with the degeneracy of the genetic code in two manners: having more than one tRNA (with a specific anti-codon) for a particular amino acid; and 'wobble' base-pairing, i.e. permitting non-standard base-pairing at the 3rd anti-codon position. RNAcentral also lists the same sequence under 1 other name. Lineage: Bacteria; Bacillati; Armatimonadota; Armatimonadia; Capsulimonadales; Capsulimonadaceae. The record is from RNAcentral.
CGGGGCGUAGUGAAGUGGCAUAACAGAAAGUUUGGGACUUUCCAUCGCAGGUUCGAUUCCUGUCGCCCCGACCA